RNAcentral lists this ribosomal RNA (461 nucleotides) under uncultured delta proteobacterium. RNAcentral describes it as "bacterial SSU rRNA". It matches the Rfam family "Bacterial small subunit ribosomal RNA", at positions 8 to 451 of the family's 1533-position model. Lineage: Bacteria; Deltaproteobacteria. The record is from RNAcentral.
AGAGUUUGAUCCUGGCUCAGAGCGAACGUUAGCGGCGGGCUUAACACAUGCAAGUCGAGCGAGAAAAGUCCCUUCGGGGGCUGAGUAAAGCGGCGCACGGGUGCGUAACACGUAGGUAAUCUACCCUCGGGCGGGGGAUAACGUUUCGAAAGAGACGCUAAUACCGCAUAAGACCACGACCACUACGGUGGAUGUGGGAAAAGAUGGCCUCUCCAUGGAAGCUAUCACCUGAGGAUGAGCCUGCGGCCCAUCAGCUUGUUGGUGAGGUAACGGCUCACCAAGGCGAAGACGGGUAGCUGGUCUGAGAGGAUGAUCAGCCACACUGGCACUGGAACACGGGCCAGACUCCUACGGGAGGCAGCAGUGGGGAAUAUUGGACAAUGGGCGCAAGCCUGAUCCAGCCACGCCGCGUGAGUGAUGAAGGCCUUCGGGUUGUAAAGCUCUGUGGGGAGGGACGAAAA